This 253-nucleotide ribosomal RNA is filed under the name uncultured bacterium. RNAcentral describes it as "partial 16S ribosomal RNA". It matches the Rfam family "Bacterial small subunit ribosomal RNA", at positions 524 to 776 of the family's 1533-position model. The record is from RNAcentral.
GACGAACCGAGCGAACGUUAUUCGGAAUCACUGGGCUUAAAGGGCGCGUAGGCGGGCCGUCAAGUCAGGGGUGAAAGCCCCCAGCUCAACUGGGGAAGUGCCUUUGAUACUGACGGCCUCGAGGGAGAUAGGGGCGUGCGGAACUUCCGGUGGAGCGGUGAAAUGCGUAGAUAUCGGAAGGAACACCGGUGGCGAAAGCGGCGCGCUGGAUCUCUUCUGACGCUGAGGCGCGAAAGCCAGGGGAGCAAACGGG